ACCAGACUUGCCCUCUCAUAGAUACUCGUUAAAGGGUUUAGAUUGUACCCAUUCCGAUGACCGGCCUCUUGUGAGAACGGUCUCGUUAUUUCUCGUCACUACCUCCUCGAAUUGAGAGUGGGUAAUUUGCGCGCCUGCUGCCAUCCUUAGACGUAGUGGCCAUUUCUCAGGCCCCUUCUCCGGAGUCGAACCCUUAUCCUCCGUUACCCGUCAUCACCAUGGUAGUCAGGUACACUACCAUCGAAAGUUGAUAAGGCAGACACUUGAAAGACACGUCGCCGGUGCAAGACCGUGCGAUCAGCUUAGUUAUUCUGAGUCAACACUGAACGCCCGUGAGGGCGCUUGGUUUUGUGGCGAACAAAUGCGCUCCUCUCCAGCAAGGGAUCGGAGCUUUGGUGCAUGUAUUAGCUCUAGAAUUACCACAGUUAUCCAAGUAGGUUGUCAAGGUCAAGUAAAUUAAGGCUGGUGUAAUGAGCCGUACGCAGUUUCCCUGUCUGGCAGGUUAUACUUAUACAUGCAUGGCUUAAUCUUUGAAAUGAACACAUCAGUUCAGGCAGGAUCAACCAG
RNAcentral lists this ribosomal RNA (567 nucleotides) under uncultured eukaryote. RNAcentral's name for it is "partial 18S ribosomal RNA". The record is from RNAcentral.